AUUAGACUUCGGGCUUUAACGGAAGAGCAUGUCUCAACCCAGGCGCUGGAGAGUAACAGAAGCUGUGCAUUCGGCUUUUCCAGAAUCAACUCUAUGAUCUUAUUGGACCAGACCAGCAGGUUCUGGUGUGGAUGCAGGUCAUGCAGGUGUGGAUGCAGGUGUGUGUAGUUUCCAUCUGUACCGGGAGCUGAUCCUGUGCCACAGUGGCCCAUACCCAAAUACCAUGGAAGAGAGCUGGUCUCCCAGGAGUGCAGACACACCUGUGAUUGCAGUGCAGGCAGAGCAUGAACAGUGAUGUCAAGAAGCCAAAUCCAGUUCUGUUUACUGGACAUUCAACCAUUCUCAACUCGGUCUUAAACAUCAUCCAUACAUAUAUAACACUCAAAAGAAGGACAGUGAUUCCAACCUGGCUUGACGUUCAAGAUGUGAUCUCUCAGCUUCCUGCUCCUUCUUUCAUAAAUACUUAACAAUUGCUGGAACCACAAGACAAAUAAAUCUUCUACUAUAA
Molecule: long non-coding RNA, 508 nt
Organism: Mus musculus (house mouse)
Lineage: Eukaryota; Metazoa; Chordata; Mammalia; Rodentia; Muridae
Product: predicted gene, 52334
Exons: 4
Source: RefSeq, marked validated